CUUCCGGAAGGGUUGCUUGCUGGUUCGUGGUCUUCCCUUCCUCUUCUUCUUCUUCUUUCUCUUUGCUUCUUCUUUCUCUUCGCUUCUUCCUCUUCUUGUUCGGUUCUGGUGUAAUGGUCGGAAAUCCGACUCGGGGAGCUUGGUCGGAAAAUCCAACCGACGACUCCCGGUUGACUCCAGAAGUUGAGGUUUCCUCGCUUUCGGGGCCGAACGUUGAUCGGCUUCGGGAGCAGUAUCGAAUCCCGGAGCAGUUUCAACUCUCCACCCCAGGGGCCGGCGGUCGGGUUAACAACCCUCCGCCCGGCCAACUGGCGUUG
RNAcentral lists this long non-coding RNA (317 nucleotides) under Elaeis guineensis (African oil palm). RNAcentral describes it as "long non-coding RNA (EGUI_LNC029473)". Lineage: Eukaryota; Viridiplantae; Streptophyta; Magnoliopsida; Arecales; Arecaceae. The record is from RNAcentral.